Carassius gibelio (silver crucian carp) is the source of this 2012-nucleotide long non-coding RNA. RefSeq lists it as uncharacterized. The record is from RefSeq and is a predicted model, not a curated record. The transcript is spliced from 4 exons. NCBI's taxonomy places the organism in Eukaryota, Metazoa, Chordata, Actinopteri, Cypriniformes, Cyprinidae.
UUGUUGUUAUUAUGUCUGUAUCCAAAAAAAGGAAACCCUUUACUGGGUUACAGUCCGCUUGCUGACUGAGCUGGGAUGUUUGCAAGAAGGUCAGGCAGCAGUGUUGCACACAAACUGAGCAGGAGUUGGUCUGUUCUUGUAGUCGUGGCCGUACCUUCCGGCGAUCGGACUGCUGAACACUUCCUAACACUUCCUAACACAUUUUGAAUAAGUCCUAACACUUCCGAACUAAUUCCUAACACAAGUACGAACAUCACGUGGUCUAUGUCCUAACAACUCCUAACCAUCUCCUAACAGGUCCGAACGGGGCAAAACAGCCAUUGGUCGAGCGGAGCAAUACAGCCAUUGGCCGAAACAUAGUCACGUGCGAAACCACAUGAUUACAGUCAAAAAAGCGGAAGCGCGCGAAUGAUUAGUUUAUUAAUUUUAAGGCGAAUUCAUUAUUAUUUAAACACGGAGCAUAUUUUUAUUCAGUUUGAUGUUUUCAGAUAACGUGGAGAUCUUCAACAGAUCACUGGAACUGUCCAUAGUCCCUGGCUGCUUCAAAUGCUCCACCAUCAUCCCUGGCCCAAAGAAACCCAAGAUAACAGGACAUAAUGACUGCAGACCCUUGCUGGAUCCACUGCUCUUCUCCCUCUACACUAGGGAUGCACUAUAAAUCACAUGUGAUUUUCAUGCACAUCUCGUCAGUAAAGCCGGUGUUGUUGAUUAGUAGUAAAUCUCCAUCAUGUGCUUUCAGAUGGAGCAGCAUUUACUACACAGAGCCGUAGUUCACUGACAAGCUAUACAAUAUCACAUUCAUAAUCGCAGACAAUUUGUCUGAACAUCAACAGAACCGGCUCUACUGAUGAGAUGCGCAUAACAAUCACAUGCGAGUUAUCGUGCUGCCCUACUCUACACCAAUGACUGCACCUCUACAGACCUGAGGUCUUCGGACUGUCGAGAGGAUUACUGGUGCUUCCCUACCCACCUUUCAAGAACGAUCUUCAACAGAUCACUGGAACUGUCCAUAGUCCCUGGCUGCUUCAAAUGCUCCACCAUCAUCCCUGGCCCAAAGAAACCCAAGAUAACAGGACAUAAUGACUGCAGACCCUUGCUGGAUCCACUGCUCUUCUCCCUCUACACUAGGGAUGCACUAUAAAUCACAUGUGAUUUUCAUGCACAUCUCGUCAGUAAAGCCGGUGUUGUUGAUUAGUAGUAAAUCUCCAUCAUGUGCUUUCAGAUGGAGCAGCAUUUACUACACAGAGCCGUAGUUCACUGACAAGCUAUACAAUAUCACAUUCAUAAUCGCAGACAAUUUGUCUGAACAUCAACAGAACCGGCUCUACUGAUGAGAUGCGCAUAACAAUCACAUGCGAGUUAUCGUGCUGCCCUACUCUACACCAAUGACUGCACCUCUACAGACCUGAGGUCUUCGGACUGUCGAGAGGAUUACUGGUGCUUCCCUACCCACCUUUCAAGAACGAUCUUCAACAGAUCACUGGAACUGUCCAUAGUCCCUGGCUGCUUCAAAUGCUCCACCAUCAUCCCUGGCCCAAAGAAACCCAAGAUAACAGGACAUAAUGACUGCAGACCCUUGCUGGAUCCACUGCUCUUCUCCCUCUACACUAGGGAUGCACUAUAAAUCACAUGUGAUUUUCAUGCACAUCUCGUCAGUAAAGCCGGUGUUGUUGAUUAGUAGUAAAUCUCCAUCAUGUGCUUUCAGAUGGAGCAGCAUUUACUACACAGAGCCGUAGUUCACUGACAAGCUAUACAAUAUCACAUUCAUAAUCGCAGACAAUUUGUCUGAACAUCAACAGAACCGGCUCUACUGAUGAGAUGCGCAUAACAAUCACAUGCGAGUUAUCGUGCUGCCCUACUCUACACCAAUGACUGCACCUCUACAGACCUGAGGUCUUCGGACUGUCGAGAGGAUUACUGGUGCUUCCCUACCCACCUUUCAAGAACGGUACACAUCCAGAGUGAGGAAAAGUGCUUAGGAAAUCACUCUGGAUCCUUUUUGAACUUUUGAC